CCGAAGACCCAGAACUUGAAUAUUAGUAAGAACAGAAGCACCUGGUAAUCUCAAACUUCAAAAAUAUGGUAGCUUAGGACUGUUUUAUUCUCUGAAUUAUUAUCUCUUUUUUUUUUUUUAAUUUUAAAGAUGUUGAACCUAAUCUGAGUAUAACAGUAUUGAUGUUGUAACUUUCUUUCCAGCCACAGACAUCUUUUUUUUUUUUUAAUUUUAAAGAUGUUGAACCUAAUCUGAGUAUAACAGUAUUGAUGUUGUAACAUGCGAAAGGAAUUAAUGUAAAUAUGUCUGUUAAUGCAAUUUUAGCCUCUUUUCCUCUGCGGAUAAAGUUACUCUGGACACUAAUAUGAACACAAAUUGGCUUACAUAAUUGGAAAAAAAAGCAAUUCUAGCAUUUUUAUUUACUUUUUGUGUGGGGGAUUGGGUUUGGCGGGGUUGGGGGGGUUGGGGUGUGCGUGUGUGUGUGUGAAGACAGAAUUUAAUUGCAAAUAGUAGUAUGAAAGAUAGUUUGUGCAUAUUUGUUAAGACUGACCAACUUCCGAUUUAAUAAAGAAUUAUGGAUUUUUAUUGAGGAGUUUGGAGGUCAGCU
RNAcentral lists this long non-coding RNA (586 nucleotides) under Nicotiana benthamiana. Its description in RNAcentral is "long non-coding RNA (NBEN_LNC004255)". The record is from RNAcentral. Lineage: Eukaryota; Viridiplantae; Streptophyta; Magnoliopsida; Solanales; Solanaceae.